Corylus avellana is the source of this 2501-nucleotide non-coding RNA. Lineage: Eukaryota; Viridiplantae; Streptophyta; Magnoliopsida; Fagales; Betulaceae. The record is from RefSeq and is a predicted model, not a curated record.
AAUAACAGAAAAUUCAGUUAGAAACGUCGAGAUUUUCGGUAAAGCUUGGACAAAUUUCAGCAUUAUUCCGUCAUAAAACCUGGGAAAAUCCGUCAAUGCUACGAAGGUAAUGGUAUUUAGGUCGACAUCUAAACAGACUCAUCAUUUCUUUGUAUCCGGCGACGGGUGAAGAGAAGAAGAAAAGGGGAAAGAUGUUGUGGGGAAGGGAUCUCCCAGAAGAUUUGUCAAUGGAAAUCCUAUCAAGGCUUCCCGUCAAAUCAUUGAUGCGCUGCAAAUGCAUAAGCAAAUCCUGGUAUGCUCUUAUCACUAACCCUAGUUUCAUCACCAUGCACCUCACUUCUCACAAUCCCAACAGAAGGGCGGCUAUUCUUAGGCGUGGGGGUGGAUUGGAACACCUACGUCUCUCCACGCUCUCUAACGAAACCCUAGAGGUGUCUGGGAAUGUUGAUCUCUCACAAUUGUUUCUGGAUGAGGUUUCUAAGGUAUCAAUAUUCGGCCCCUGCAAUGGCAUACUUUGUUUUUCUGGUACUCUGUGGAAGAAUAGAGAUGGGCACUGUGAUUAUGGUCGUUUGGUGUUAUGGAAUCCUGCGACAAGAGAAUCGAAGUUGCUCCCCCCAUUCCCCCGGCAAUCGGAUUUAUACUUUUUUUCUAAUCUUGGCUUCGGUUUUGAUCCAAAGACUAACGAUUACAAGGUGGUUAGGAUUAUGAACUUCCGUUUCCGGCACUGCAAAGUUCAGGUAUACCACCUUAGUACUAAUUCUUGGAGGGUGCUUGAUUCAUCCCCUAACCCAUCUUAUUUUAUUCAUUUACCUCGUUUUCCCUCGUACCUAAAUGGAGUUUAUUAUUGGUGGGCUCGGGUUCGUGAAGAUGGUUACAUGGGCCGCCAACUCUUGCUUUCCUUUGAUAUGAGCAACGAGGUGUUCCAAGAGGUACUGCCUCCCCCAUCUGAAGGAAGUUGUAGUGAGGAUAUUGCUGUUAUCAAUGACUCUGUAACUAUGAUUUUACCAUGUAACAGUGAGUUGAAAGAAUGUAUUGAGAUAUGGGUGUUGAAUGAGUGUGGUGUUGAAAGGACUUGGACCAAAAUAUUAACAAUCCGACAAAUUCCAGUUUUUUGGAAUCUGCUACAGCUUCGGGAGGAUGGUUUGGUAGUUCUAACCGAUGAAGAUCAAUGUUUGGUAUUGUAUGACCCGAGAACACAAGAAGCGAGGAAUCUUCAAAUAUAUGAGGCUAGAUUCGCUCAACUUGUUAGUUACACAGAGUCCCUAGUUCGCCUAAAUGGAUAGGGGAAUGUGCUUGAGCAACAAGCCAAGUCAUAACAAGAUUCUGGACCAAUUCAAUUUCAUAUGUGCAUUACCUGCAAAAUCACAUAUUUGUUACAUUGCUUUUGGAUUCCAAGUUUCUGGAAUUAUGAGGGGUUUUUCUGUUACAUUUUAUAUGCUUCUAGCCUUUUCUGCAUAUUUAUUUAAUAAUGUUGGCUAUCUUUUGAGUGCUUCGACACAAACAUUAGCGAAUAUGAAUGAUGUAAAAGUCUUUUGAGUGUUUUGACCUUUUAAGCGUAUAAUUUCCUCUUGCUUUUUAUUGUUGCAACUUUUGCUUGGUAAUUCCCCCUCAUGUUAUUCGUUUGAAGGUUGAACAAUUAUUUAUCAAUUUCGAUAGUUGUAAUAAGAUUUUGUCUAUAUGGUUCCUGUAAGAGUUUGAGGAUAUUCACCGUUUUAGAUAUUCCAAGGUAUUUGAAGGGGGUUAGCCAAAAUCUACAGAUGAGAAUUGAAUUAAACUGUGAACAGAGUAGGGUUUUAAGAAAGAUUUUGUUUUUUCCUUCAAAGAAAUAAAACUUCUUUACUACCUUUAGAUGGUUGAGUGAAUGGAGGAAGAUGAAAGAAAAACACAGAAUUUGCAUUUUCUUUUCUCUUUAAGAGUAUCCCUUGUGACUUCAAUUUGUUAUCCCUUUUUUCUUUGAACUCUUUGUUACAUAAAAUGAUUCAUUUUCAUCCUUAGUUUGGUUGCUGGGACAAUGGAGAGUGAAAAUAGUGUUGAAAAUUGGGUCUUGGGUUUUCUGUUGAUUUUGAUGGUGUAAUUGUAAAAUUCAACCCCAACUAAGCUUACGAGUGGAAUUCUUUGUUUUUUAUCUGCCAAAUGGGUAAUAGUAUAAUAUCAGAAAUUUUCUACCAUUUCUUGGACUCUUUCAAUUUCCUUUCCUCCUGUUUUUUCUUAUGACAAAAUAUUCAAAGGGACUCCUUCAAUUGCUGAGAGAGUAAAUUGCUUAUUAGAAAAUAUUCAAGGGACUCUUUAUUAUGUUUCUGUUCCAUUUUAUAGGGACCCUAAACCCUCAAUAUUAUGUUGGAAUUGCUGAAACUGCUCUUCAUUUUUCCUUUUUGGCCAACCAGACGAAUUAUUAUGUGGGUGCCUUGCAACAUUCUUGAUGCUCGAUCCAGAAAUUUGGCAAGGGUGAUUUGAGGGCCAACAAGGAAUUUGAAACCCCCAAGGGGUUGGGCUCAAGCAGU